This 85-nucleotide transfer RNA is filed under the name Candidatus Pseudothioglobus singularis PS1. Its description in RNAcentral is "Candidatus Thioglobus singularis PS1 tRNA-Leu". It matches the Rfam family "tRNA". From Rfam's summary of the family: Transfer RNA (tRNA) molecules are approximately 80 nucleotides in length. Their secondary structure includes four short double-helical elements and three loops (D, anti-codon, and T loops). Further hydrogen bonds mediate the characteristic L-shaped molecular structure. tRNAs have two regions of fundamental functional importance: the anti-codon, which is responsible for specific mRNA codon recognition, and the 3' end, to which the tRNAs corresponding amino acid is attached (by aminoacyl-tRNA synthetases). tRNAs cope with the degeneracy of the genetic code in two manners: having more than one tRNA (with a specific anti-codon) for a particular amino acid; and 'wobble' base-pairing, i.e. permitting non-standard base-pairing at the 3rd anti-codon position. Lineage: Bacteria; Pseudomonadati; Pseudomonadota; Gammaproteobacteria; Pseudothioglobaceae (SeqCode). RNAcentral also lists the same sequence under 23 other names. The record is from RNAcentral.
GCCGUCGUGGUGAAAUUGGUAGACACGCAGCCUUGAGGGGGCUGUAGCGCAAGCUGUGACGGUUCGACUCCGUCCGACGGCACCA